RNAcentral lists this microRNA precursor (207 nucleotides) under Oryza rufipogon (brownbeard rice). RNAcentral's name for it is "MIR812 microRNA precursor family". It matches the Rfam family "MIR812 microRNA precursor family". The record is from Rfam by way of RNAcentral. Lineage: Eukaryota; Viridiplantae; Streptophyta; Magnoliopsida; Poales; Poaceae.
AAUGUAUGACGUCGUUGACUUUUUAUCCAACGUUUGACCAUUUGUCUUAUUUAAAAAAUUUAUGUAAUCAUUAUUUAUUUUAUUGUUAAUUGAUUCGUCAUCAAAUGUUCUUUAAGCAUGACAUAAAUAUUUUCAUAUUUGCACACAAAAUUUAAAUAAAACGAAUGGUCAAAUGUUAGUAAAAAAAAAUCAACGGCGUCAUACAUU